Molecule: ribosomal RNA, 466 nt
Filed under: Bacillus pumilus
Lineage: Bacteria; Bacillati; Bacillota; Bacilli; Caryophanales; Bacillaceae
Description: bacterial SSU rRNA
Rfam family: Bacterial small subunit ribosomal RNA
Source: RNAcentral
CCUACGGGAGGCAGCAGUAGGGAAUCUUCCGCAAUGGACGAAAGUCUGACGGAGCAACGCCGCGUGAGUGAUGAAGGUUUUCGGAUCGUAAAGCUCUGUUGUUAGGGAAGAACAAGUGCGAGAGUAACUGCUCGCACCUUGACGGUACCUAACCAGAAAGCCACGGCUAACUACGUGCCAGCAGCCGCGGUAAUACGUAGGUGGCAAGCGUUGUCCGGAAUUAUUGGGCGUAAAGGGCUCGCAGGCGGUUUCUUAAGUCUGAUGUGAAAGCCCCCGGCUCAACCGGGGAGGGUCAUUGGAAACUGGGAAACUUGAGUGCAGAAGAGGAGAGUGGAAUUCCACGUGUAGCGGUGAAAUGCGUAGAGAUGUGGAGGAACACCAGUGGCGAAGGCGACUCUCUGGUCUGUAACUGACGCUGAAGAGCGAAAGCGUGGGGAGCGAACAGGAUUAGAUACCCUCAGUAGUC